AGAACUUAAAACAAAAGUGGCUGGAUCUAAUUGCAAGUAAAUGUUUUUUUAAAUUGUUUUAAGUUUCUUGGUUCUUUUGUUGAAAAAUGAUUUUUUACAAUGUCUCGGUUUGAAAAGUUAGCAAGUAAGUAAAUAUGUUUCGAUAUAUUAGUUUGAAAGAAAAACUUACUUUGAUGACGCACCUUCUCUUGAAGAGUGGGCAAACUUUCUCACAUAAAGUUGACAGAUUAGCACAGACAUAAAAUAUGGAUGCUUGGUUAUCGGGAUAUUUAUCUUAUGUGAGAAAUGUUGUCGUUCUUCAUUUUAAGGCCACAUCAGGUAUCUAGAUUUACUUUUGUUUGUCAGUAAAAGUGUCUUAAUUUAUUUUAUUAAAAGUGAGAGGAAAUAUAUUUAUUGUUUCAAUAUAAACUUUCGUCCGUGGUUAAGGAAAUUUUUUUCGAUUUCUUCGAAGAAAGUAGAAUUUUUUGUGUCCGUCCGGUAGUUUGGACUUAAAACAAAAUGUGGCUGGAUCUUCUGACUGCAACUAAAUAUUUUUUGGUAUCGCUUUUCCUUGCUUCUUUCAUUGAAACAUAAAUUUUUACGGUGUCCUAGUUUGGAAUGUAAGCAAGUAAAUAUGUUUUGAUAUAUUAGUUUGAAAGAAAAAAUUACUUUGAUGACACAUUUUGUCUUGAAGAGUCGGCAAACUUUCUCACGUAGAGUUGAAAAAUUAGCGCAGACGUAAAACAUAGAUGCUUGGUUAUCGGGAUAUUCAUCUUAUGUGAGAAAGGUUGUCGUUCUUCAUUUUGAAGUCAAAUCAGGUAACUAGAUUUGCUUUUGUUCAUCAGUAAAAGUACCUUAAUUUAUUUUAUUGAAAGUGAGAAGAGAUCAAUUUAUUGUUUCGAAAUAAAUUUUUAUCAGUGGUUAAGAAAACAAUUUUUUAUUUCUUCUGAAAAAGUAGAAUUUCUUGUGUUCUUCUGGUAGUUUGAACUUAAAAAAAAAUGUGGCUGGAUCUUGUGAUUGCAAGAAAAUAUUUUUGGUAUCGUUUUAAGUUUCUUGCUUCUUUCGUUGAAAAAUAAUUUUUUAUGGUGUCUCGGUUUGGAAAAUAAGCAAGCAAGAAAAUAUGUCCCGAUAUAUUAGUUUGAAAGAAAAAGUUAUUUUGAUGUCACACUUUCUCUUGAAAGGUCGGACAAAUUUUUUCAUAGAGAGUUGACAAAUUAGUGUGGGCAGAAAGCAUAGAUGCUUGGUUAUCGGGAUGUUCAUCUUACAUGAGAAAGGUUGUCGUUCUCAUUUUGAAGUCACCUUAGGUAACUAGAUUUGCUUUUGUUCCUCAGAAUGAGUGCUUUAAUUUAUUUUAUUGAAAGUGAGUGGAAUUUAAUUUAUUAUUUCAAAAUAAAUUUGUUUUCUUUGCAGACAGUCUGUCCGAUAGUUUGAACUUAAAAUAAAAUGUGGCAGGAUCUUCUGUUUGCAAGUAAAUAUUUUUCGGUAUCGUUUUAAGUUUCUUGCUUCUUUCGUUAAAAAAUAAUUUUUUACGGUGUUCUGGUUUGGAAGGUAAGAAAACAAGUAAAUAUGUCCCGCUAUAUCAGUUUGAAAGAAAAAGUUACUUUGAUGACUCACUUUCUUGUGAUGAGUCGGCAAACUUUCUCACAUAGAGCUGACAAAUUAGUGCGGACAUAAAAUAUAGAUGCUUGGUUAUCGAGAUAUUCAUCUUAUGUGAGAAAGAUUGUCAUUCUUCAUUUUAAAGUCACAUCAGUUAACUAGAUUUGCUUUUAUUCGUCAGUAAAAGUGCCUUAAUUUAUUUUAUUGAAAGUGAGAGGUAAUUAAUUUAUUAUUUCAAAAUAAAUAUGCGUCCGUGUUUAAGGAAAUUUGUUUGAUUUCUUUGGAGAAAGUAGAAUUCCUUGUUUCCAUUCGCUAGUUUGAACUUAAAAAAAAUGCGCUUGGAUCUG
Molecule: long non-coding RNA, 1922 nt
Filed under: Carica papaya (papaya)
Lineage: Eukaryota; Viridiplantae; Streptophyta; Magnoliopsida; Brassicales; Caricaceae
Description: long non-coding RNA (CPAP_LNC001252)
Source: RNAcentral